RNAcentral lists this ribosomal RNA (441 nucleotides) under uncultured bacterium. Its description in RNAcentral is "partial 16S ribosomal RNA". It matches the Rfam family "Bacterial small subunit ribosomal RNA", at positions 339 to 795 of the family's 1533-position model. The record is from RNAcentral.
CUACGGGCCGCUGCAGUGGGGAAUAUUGGACAAUGGACCAAAAGUCUGAUCCAGCAAUUCUGUGUGCACGAUGACGGUCUUCGGAUUGUAAAGUGCUUUCAGUUGGGAAGAAAAAAAUGACGGUACCAACAGAAGAAGCGACGGCUAAAUACGUGCCAGCAGCCGCGGUAAUACGUAUGUCGCAAGCGUUAUCCGGAUUUAUUGGGCGUAAAGCGCGUCUAGGUGGUUUGAUAAGUCUGAGUGAAAAUGCGGGGCUCAACUCCGUAUUGCGUUGGAAACUGUCAAACUAGAGUAUCGGAGAGGUGGGCGGAACUACAAGUGUAGAGGUGAAAUUCGUAGAUAUUUGUAGGAAUGCCGAUAGAGAAGUCAGCUCACUGGACGAAUACUGACACUGAAGCGCGAAAGCAUGGGGAGCAAACAGGAUUAGAUACCCUCGUAGUC